UUCACUUGAUCUUUUUUCUCUCUAUUUUCUAUCAAUAAAAUUGGCUCAAUAAAAUCGGGUUUUGUUGUUAUAGAACACGGUAUUCUAUAUUUUAUAGUAGCAAUAUUCUAUAGUAGCAAAGGAAUAAGAAAUAAGAAUAAUAAAUUUUUUAAAAAUAAAAGUCUGAAUAGACCAAAAGAGAGGGGAGGAAAUAAUAAAGAAAAAUUUAUACAAAGCUAGAUAUGAAUCAUCCACACCCUCUUUUUUGGAUUUCAUUAAGUGAAUUUUGUUCGGUCUGGAAUCCAAAAUGAUAGCAUAGCACAAGCCACCUUACCUCCAGAGGCUCUGCUUUGCCGCAGAUCCAUUCUGGUUUCGUCCCAAACCUCUCCUUUACCCAUCCUCUUUGAUUCAGAUUAUGGGGUAUUCAAUGCACUUGAUGUAGACCAGAAAGACGAGGCUUUCCCGUGGGCUGGGGGAGUAGCCUCCUCUUCACCCUCCUUCAGUCGAUUCAGAUACCGAAUCGUAUCUCUUGGAGAGAGGUGCGGAAGCUCCCCCUUUGACUCGGGGGGAUUCCACCACUUCGACUGAUGCGGACGCGAUUCCCUCGUCGUGAAAGAAGU
Molecule: long non-coding RNA, 599 nt
Filed under: Gossypium barbadense (sea-island cotton)
Lineage: Eukaryota; Viridiplantae; Streptophyta; Magnoliopsida; Malvales; Malvaceae
Description: long non-coding RNA (GBAR_LNC001574)
Source: RNAcentral